AUUGAACGCUGGCGGCAUGCUUUACACAUGCAAGUCGAACGGUAACAGGCCUUCGGGUGCUGACGAGUGGCGAACGGGUGAGUAAUGCAUCGGAACGUACCCAGAGGUGGGGGAUAACGCAGCGAAAGCUGUGCUAAUACCGCAUGUGAUCUGAGGAUGAAAGCGGGGGACCGAGCAGCAAUGUUUGGCCUCGCGCCUUUGGAGCGGCCGAUGUCGGAUUAGCUAGUUGGUGGGGUAAAGGCCUACCAAGGCGACGAUCCGUAGCUGGUCUGAGAGGACGAACAGCCACACUGAGACUGAGACACGGCCCAAACUCCUACGGGAGGCAGCAGUGGGAAUUUUGGACAAUGGGCGCAAGCCUGAUCCAGCAAUGCCGCGUGCGGGAAGAAGGCCUUCGGGUUGUAAAACGCUUUUGGCAGGAACGAAACGGUGUCCGCUAAUACCGGGCGCUAAUGACGGUACCUGCAGAAUAAGCACCGGCUAACUACGUG
This 491-nucleotide ribosomal RNA is filed under the name uncultured bacterium. Its description in RNAcentral is "partial 16S ribosomal RNA". It matches the Rfam family "Bacterial small subunit ribosomal RNA", at positions 30 to 507 of the family's 1533-position model. The record is from RNAcentral.